This 820-nucleotide ribosomal RNA is filed under the name Phanerochaetella angustocystidiata. RNAcentral's name for it is "Phanerochaete angustocystidiata partial large subunit ribosomal RNA". It matches the Rfam family "Eukaryotic large subunit ribosomal RNA", at positions 89 to 919 of the family's 3401-position model. Lineage: Eukaryota; Fungi; Basidiomycota; Agaricomycetes; Polyporales; Irpicaceae. The record is from RNAcentral.
GCGAGUGAAGCGGGAAAAGCUCAAAUUUAAAAUCUGGCGGCUUUGGUCGUCCGAGUUGUAUUCUAGAGAAGCGUUUUCCGCGCUGGACCGUGUACAAGUCUCUUGGAACAGAGCGUCAUAGAGGGUGAGAAUCCCGUCUUUGACACGGACUACCAGUGCUUUGUGAUGCGCUCUCAAAGAGUCGAGUUGUUUGGGAAUGCAGCUCAAAAUGGGUGGUAAAUUCCAUCUAAAGCUAAAUAUUGGCGAGAGACCGAUAGCGAACAAGUACCGUGAGGGAAAGAUGAAAAGCACUUUGGAAAGAGAGUUAAACAGUACGUGAAAUUGCUGAAAGGGAAACGCUUGAAGUCAGUCGCGUUGGUUAGAACUCAACCAGGCUUGCUUGGUGCAUUUUCUAUUCAACGGGCCAGCAUCAGUUUUGACUGUAGGAAAAAGAUCAGAGAAAUGUGGCACCUUCGGGUGUGUUAUAGUCUUUGGUUGCAUACUAUGGUUGGGACUGAGGAUCUCAGCACGCAUCUGUUGUGCUUAGGAUGCUGGCGUAAUGGCUUUAAACGACCCGUCUUGAAACACGGACCAAGGAGUCUAACAAACCUGCGAGUGUUUGGGUGGUAAACCCGAGCGCGUAAUGAAAGUGAAAGUUGGGAUCUCUGUCGCGGAGAGCACCGACGCCCGGACCAGACCUUCUGUGACGGAUCUGCGGUAGAGCAUGUUUGUUGGGACCCGAAAGAUGGUGAACUAUGCCUGAAUAGGGUGAAGCCAGAGGAAACUCUGGUGGAGCUCGUAGCGAUUCUGACGUGCAAAUCGAUCGUCAAAUUUGGGUAUA